GCCGGGGUGGCGGAAGGGUAUACGCGGACGGCUCAAAACCGUCUGUCUGCAAGGACAUGGGGGUUCGAAUCCCCUCCCCGGCA
Molecule: transfer RNA, 83 nt
Filed under: Friedmanniella luteola
Lineage: Bacteria; Bacillati; Actinomycetota; Actinomycetes; Propionibacteriales; Nocardioidaceae
Rfam family: tRNA
About the family: Transfer RNA (tRNA) molecules are approximately 80 nucleotides in length. Their secondary structure includes four short double-helical elements and three loops (D, anti-codon, and T loops).
Source: Rfam by way of RNAcentral